Molecule: long non-coding RNA, 251 nt
Organism: Corticium candelabrum
Lineage: Eukaryota; Metazoa; Porifera; Homoscleromorpha; Homosclerophorida; Plakinidae
Exons: 3
Source: RefSeq, a predicted model, not a curated record
AACUUGAUUUUGCGGCAAAAGCGUGACUUUGGACGACAUCCAGUCGGGAUGAACAUGAUGACGCAACAGCCAGUGUAAACAAAGCUGCUAGUACAAUAUCGGUAGAGAAGAAAAAGAGAAAGAGGGCAACCAAAAUGGUCUCACACAAUGAGAGGAGACUCACAAUACGUGAUGGCUUACAAACAUCUUGGAGCUGAGCCAUGUGCAGAAAGAACAACAAGUAACAGGAAAGCAGUAGAAACUCUCCAUGG